GUUUGUCUAGCUUAGUCGGUAUAGUGCAACGCUUUUAACCUUAAGGUUGUGGGUUUGAGCCCUAUGGUGGUCG
Molecule: transfer RNA, 73 nt
Filed under: Zea mays
Lineage: Eukaryota; Viridiplantae; Streptophyta; Magnoliopsida; Poales; Poaceae
Rfam family: tRNA
About the family: Transfer RNA (tRNA) molecules are approximately 80 nucleotides in length. Their secondary structure includes four short double-helical elements and three loops (D, anti-codon, and T loops).
Source: Rfam by way of RNAcentral